Molecule: long non-coding RNA, 665 nt
Organism: Salvia splendens (bonfire salvia)
Lineage: Eukaryota; Viridiplantae; Streptophyta; Magnoliopsida; Lamiales; Lamiaceae
Exons: 2
Source: RefSeq, a predicted model, not a curated record
AGACGGUAAUCGAUCCUCUUCAGCAACUUCACCUUGUGCCUAUUUGAGAACUGCGUAUCAGAACUGCUUCAACCGGUAAAAAACCAAUCUUUUUCUCGUUUUUGUGUAUAUUGUUUUAAUAUUAAUUAAAUUUCAGAAAAUAUGGAAUUGUUUAGCUGCUGAGGGUUUUGAUCUCUUAAAUUGGCUUCAACAUCUAUGUGUAAAUGGUAUUCAGAGAAAUUCCUAAAAGGGCAGUGGGAUGAAGAAGAGUGCAUUUUUGAGUGGGAGAAAUACAGACAGUCUAGUCUGUAUUUGUAACUUGUUCUUGGAAGCUGAUGGUGUGUUGGAUUUGAAUGAUCAAGCUGAAUUCAAGAGCAAAACUGGUGUUUCUUAUGAGAUGAAAUGCUGGAAAUUUAAUGAAGUUUUCGUUUUUCGUGUGGUAGUUUUUUGUGGAUUAGUCAUUGAUUCCAACUGAUUAUGUACAUAUGUAGUGUUUAAGAAGUUGUUCUUUAUCAUAUGUUUUGGAGAUUCGUGAGCCUUGAAUGAGUUCGAUUCAGUUAUAAAGUUCGAUUAUAGAGUAGCAUUUCUAGGUAUGAAAUUGAAAGACAAUCUAGGGAUCGUCACCUUUAUUUUAAUAUGUUUUGUAUCAUCAUAGAAGACGAUAACAUUGUCAUGUUACAUGGAAA